This 440-nucleotide ribosomal RNA is filed under the name uncultured bacterium. RNAcentral describes it as "partial 16S ribosomal RNA". It matches the Rfam family "Bacterial small subunit ribosomal RNA", at positions 338 to 795 of the family's 1533-position model. The record is from RNAcentral.
CCUACGGGAGGCAGCAGUGGGGGAUAUUGCACAAUGGGGGGAACCCUGAUGCAGCGACGCCGCGUGGGUGAAGAAGCGCCUCGGCGCGUAAAGCCCUGUCAGCAGGGAAGAAAAUGACGGUACCUGAAGCAGAAGCCGCGGCUAACUACGGGCCGGCAGCCGCGGUAAUACGUUGGGAGCAAGCGUUAUCCGGAUUUACUGGGGGUAAAGGGGGCGCAGACGGCGCUGCAAGCCAGGAGUGAAAGGCCGGGGCCCAACCCCGGGACUGCUCUUGGAACUGCGUGGCUGGAGUGCAGGAGGGGCAGGCGGAAUGCCUGGUGUAGCGGUGAAAUGCGUAGAUAUCGGGAGGAACACCGGUGGCGAAGGCGGCCUGCUGGACUGCAACUGACGUUGAGGCCCGAAAGCGUGGGGAGCGAACAGGAUUAGAUACCCCAGUAGUC